Molecule: long non-coding RNA, 2561 nt
Filed under: Paramuricea clavata
Lineage: Eukaryota; Metazoa; Cnidaria; Anthozoa; Malacalcyonacea; Plexauridae
Source: RNAcentral
CAAAAUGGAGUCGCCAUGGAAUUGCUGUAUUUACUACAAGCAAGCAAUAUUGUCACGCCAUUUCACUAUCGUCUACCUCUCACCGAGUCUCAUUGGUUAAUCGGGUACAUUCAACGCAUCUGACUGGUUAAUGAAAGCGGAAGUGGAAGUAAAAUCUGAACCUCUAUUACAGCACGUAACUAGUAGUAAUUUAAAGGGAUAUGGCAAUAUAAAACAUUGUUGCGGAAACAUUGUUUCCUACCAAUGGCAAUGUUUCGCCAUGUUUCCCAGAGUGGGCAAACACUAGGAAACAUUAGUGAGAAACAUAGGGAAACAUCAAAUGUUUCUGAAUUUGGUAGGAAACAUUUUUUCUUCCCGGGAAGCAAAUUUUGUUUCCGCAACGUUUCCACGGGUGGGCAAACAUGGAAACAUUUGAGGAAACAUCGAGAAUCACAAAUGUUUCCGCAACAAUGUUUCCUAGUUUGCCCAGGGCUUUAUUUGAAAGAACAUUUAAAAUGAUAUAUAAACUUCCUUUACAAUUAUUCCGUGUCUUGCUUGGUUUUCGAAAUAAAUCGACUUAUUUUGAUCAAAAGCAGCGUGCAUUCCGCCAUCUUGGAUAUGCAAUCGAUAUGCAUACGUCACAAGUAGGGUAAAAAGCGAAAUUUUUAUCUUGCAAGCCACAUGUCAUUAUCAAUAUGAAACUCGAUUUUCCGAUGUAUUUUUAGUACUUAAUUAACUCACAACAUUUUAAGAAACCUUUCGAAGAAAUUUAGUCCCACAUGAAGAAGUUUUAACAAGUUUACCCUGCUUGUGACGUCAUCAAAAACUCAGAAAUUAGGUCAAUUAUAACACCAAGAUAGCGGACUGCACACUGUUUUUAGUCAAAAUAUUUCGAAAACAAAGAAAGGUACGAAAAAGUUGUGAAGGGUCUUCAUAUAUAACUUUAAAAGUUCUUUCAAAUAAGACGAAGUUAAUUUUGAUUGCCAUAUCCUUAAUAGCAUUAAUUUUUAGUAUAUACAGUAUAGUACGGUCAUCCAAAUGUUUGUUUUUGUUUCCCGUGGCCCGACCAACCCUAAUUUAACAAUAUUGAAAAAAUUAAUAUCCACAAUUUUUUUGACAAUGCAAGUAACGGGUUAAACAUAACUAUAUAUAAUGUUCGUUAAUUUAAUGAGAUGUGACUAAAUGGAGGUUUAUAAAAGGGAGAGUUAUGCAUGGUUCAAUUCUUCCUGUUACCAUCCCCCCCCCCCGGGCAACCACCGGGAAUUUGCCAAAUUCCCCACCCCCAGGCAAAUAAAAAAAGACAAUUUCCCACCCCAGGGACAAUAUUGGCUAUUACAUUCGGUUUAUUUUCAUGAUCAGUAUAUUAAAUAGUGAGCUUAUAGGAAAGUGACGUUUUUGACAACAGGACAUUGCUCAAACGUUAGCUGAUACCAAACUUUGGCGGUGCUUUUCGUUAUAACUUUUGUAUAGGAAAGUAAUAUAAUUAAAAAACCUCCGGUUUCUUCGUCACACUGGGAAAAUUAAUGGGGUAUGCUAACUUUCGCGUAUUAAUGUUUGUGUUGUCAAAAACGUUGCUUUCCUAGGCACACUAUUAUCAAAAAUAACAGUAUAAACGGCAGAGAUCGCAACUGGCGGUUUUAUAAUUACAGUAUCUUUGUAUAUUAUAUCAAACGAUAUUUAUAUCAAACGAAAAUAUCAUCUUUGAUAGAUCUCGCGGGAAACAGCUUCACUUCCAAUCCAUCGCAUUCGGGCAUAAUAUAAUAUAUGCCAUAAUUAUAAAUAUUCCUCACCCCUACCCCCGGGACCAAACGAUCAAUGAAAUUCCCCACCCCCGGGAAUUUUCGGCGCACAAAUCCCCGGGAGUUGGAUGGUAACAGGAAGAAUUGAUCCAUGCAUUAAGUCGGAGAGUUAUCAUUUCGGAGAGUUAAGUUCGAGCCACGCCCACUUUUCCAACGACCACACCCAAUUUCCAUAUAAAUCGAUUUACAGUUAAACAUUUGGAAAAACUAUUUUCACAUCACUUAGAUUUUUAUCGUUGUUUAUAAAAUAGUACCCAAAAAUGGCGGAUUUAGACGUUCGUGAGAAAGGCUGAUUCGCCGUAACACUCUUGCAUCAAAAACUUAAAAAAUUACGAGAGGGUUAACAUUUAAUAUUUUCUAAACUUUCUGUUGUUAUGAUUGGUAAGCGAGGAGAUAGUAAGUCGAAUUAUUAUUUUAAAGUUAACACCGAUCAUAUUUUGAAAAACAUAGCGAUCGUUAAAGGAGUUUUUUUAAUUUCUGCUGUGGAUUACUAGAGUAAGAAAGCAGCUUGUUGUAUCCCUUCCCACCUAUAGCAAGACUAAGACAAGUAUUUAAAACACAAAUAUUUUGACUAUUUCCAAUUAAUACGGUGUAAUCAAAGAGACUUGCAAGACUCGAAACAAGCAAGUACUGGGUACAAGCAACAAAACCAGAAGGCCUAACAGUGAAAUGUCUAGAAUGCAUUUUCACUGCAAUACAUGAAAGCUACGAAAACGUUAACUCUCGUAAUUUUUUACGUUUUGCUGUAAGAGAGUUACGGCAAAUGAGAGUUAAGAAAUUGGG